This 484-nucleotide ribosomal RNA is filed under the name uncultured bacterium. Its description in RNAcentral is "partial 16S ribosomal RNA". It matches the Rfam family "Bacterial small subunit ribosomal RNA", at positions 30 to 507 of the family's 1533-position model. The record is from RNAcentral.
AUUGAACGCUGGCGGCAGGCCUAACACAUGCAAGUCGAGCGGAUGAAGGGAGCUUGCUCCUGGAUUCAGCGGCGGACGGGUGAGUAAUGCCUAGGAAUCUGCCUGGUAGUGGGGGAUAACGUCCGGAAACGGGCGCUAAUACCGCAUCCGUCCUGCGGGAGAAAGUGGGGGAUCUUCGGACCUCACGCUAUCAGAUGAGCCUAGGUCGGAUUAGCUAGUUGGUGGGGUAAAGGCCUACCAAGGCGACGAUCCGUAACUGGUCUGAGAGGAUGAUCAGUCACACUGGAACUGAGACACGGUCCAGACUCCUACGGGAGGCAGCAGUGGGGAAUAUUGGACAAUGGGCGAAAGCCUGAUCCAGCCAUGCCGCGUGUGUGAAGAAGGUCUUCGGAUUGUAGAGCACUUUAAGUUGGGAGGAAGGGCAGUAAGUUAAUACCUUGCUGUUUUGACGUUACCAACAGAAUAAGCACCGGCUAACUUCGUG